GCAUGCUUAGCUCAGUGGUAGAGCACAUCCUUCACACGGAUGGGGUCGCAGGUUCGAAGCCUGCAGCGUGCACCA
Molecule: transfer RNA, 75 nt
Filed under: Akkermansiaceae bacterium
Lineage: Bacteria; Pseudomonadati; Verrucomicrobiota; Verrucomicrobiia; Verrucomicrobiales; Akkermansiaceae
Description: tRNA-Val
Rfam family: tRNA
About the family: Transfer RNA (tRNA) molecules are approximately 80 nucleotides in length. Their secondary structure includes four short double-helical elements and three loops (D, anti-codon, and T loops).
Source: RNAcentral